CCUACGGGUGGCAGCAGUAGGGAAUAUUGCUCAAUGGGGGAAACCCUGAAGCAGCAACGCCGCGUGGAGGAUGAAGGUUUUCGGAUUGUAAACUCCUUUUGUUAGAGCAGAUAAUGACGGUAUCUAACGAAUAAGCACCGGCUAACUCCGUGCCAGCAGCCGCGGUAAUACGGAGGGUGCAAGCGUUGCUCGGAAUCACUGGGCGUAAAGAGCGCGUAGGCGGGAUGGUAAGUCAGAUGUGAAAUCCUAUGGCUUAACCAUAGAACUGCAUUUGAAACUGUCAUUCUAGAGUAUGGGAGAGGUAGGUGGAAUUCCUGGUGUAGCGGUAAAAUGCGUAGAGAUCAGGAGGAAUA
RNAcentral lists this ribosomal RNA (353 nucleotides) under uncultured bacterium. Its description in RNAcentral is "partial 16S ribosomal RNA". It matches the Rfam family "Bacterial small subunit ribosomal RNA", at positions 338 to 708 of the family's 1533-position model. The record is from RNAcentral.